This 29-nucleotide transfer RNA is filed under the name Zelkova schneideriana. RNAcentral describes it as "partial tRNA-His". Lineage: Eukaryota; Viridiplantae; Streptophyta; Magnoliopsida; Rosales; Ulmaceae. The record is from RNAcentral.
GGCGGAUGUAGCCAAGUGGAUUAAGGCAA